GUGGGGAAUAUUGGACAAUGGGCGCAAGCCUGAUCCAGCCAUGCCGCGUGUGUGAAGAAGGCCUUCGGGUUGUAAAGCACUUUCAGUAAGGAGGAAGCGUUGAGUGUUAAUAGUACUCAGCGUUGACGUUACUUACAGAAGAAGCACCGGCUAACUCUGUGCCAGCAGCCGCGGUAAUACAGAGGGUGCAAGCGUUAAUCGGAAUUACUGGGCGUAAAGCGCACGUAGGCGGUUUUUUAAGUCAGAUGUGAAAGCCCCGGGCUCAACCUGGGAAUUGCAUUUGAAACUGGAAAACUAGAGUGUGUGAGAGGGGGGUAGAAUUCCAAGUGUAGCGGUGAAAUGCGUAGAGAUUUGGAGGAAUACCAGUGGCGAAGGCGGCCCCCUGGCACAACACUGACGCUCAGGUGCGAAAGCGUGGGGAGCAAACAGGAUUAGAAACCCUAGUAGUCC
Molecule: ribosomal RNA, 450 nt
Filed under: uncultured bacterium
Lineage: Bacteria
Description: bacterial SSU rRNA
Rfam family: Bacterial small subunit ribosomal RNA
Source: RNAcentral